RNAcentral lists this ribosomal RNA (465 nucleotides) under uncultured bacterium. RNAcentral describes it as "bacterial SSU rRNA". It matches the Rfam family "Bacterial small subunit ribosomal RNA", at positions 338 to 795 of the family's 1533-position model. The record is from RNAcentral.
CCUACGGGUGGCACCAGUAGGGAAUCUUCCACAAUGGGCGCAAGCCUGAUGGAGCAACGCCGCGUGUGUGAUGAAGGGUUUCGGCUCGUAAAACACUGUUAUAAGAGAAGAACGGCACUGAGAGUAACUGUUCAGUGUGUGACGGUAUCUUACCAGAAAGGAACGGCUAAAUACGUGCCAGCAGCCGCGGUAAUACGUAUGUUCCAAGCGUUAUCCGGAUUUAUUGGGCGUAAAGCGAGCACUGACGGUUAUUUAAGUCUGAAGUGAAAGCCCUCAGCCCAACUGAGGAAUUGCUUUGGAAACUGGAUGACUUGAGUGCAGUAGAGGAAAGUGGAACUCCAUGUGUAGCGGUGAAAUGCGUAGAUAUAUGGAAGAACACCAGUGGCGAAGGCGGCUUUCUGGACUGUAACUGACGUUGAGGCUCGAAAGUGUGGGUAGCAAACAGGAUUAGAUACCCGUGUAGUC